This 30-nucleotide non-coding RNA is filed under the name Homo sapiens (human). The record is from RNAcentral. Lineage: Eukaryota; Metazoa; Chordata; Mammalia; Primates; Hominidae.
AGGCAAGAAUGCUUACUUACCUUGAGUGAA